This 474-nucleotide ribosomal RNA is filed under the name uncultured Geobacter sp. RNAcentral describes it as "bacterial SSU rRNA". It matches the Rfam family "Bacterial small subunit ribosomal RNA", at positions 74 to 526 of the family's 1533-position model. The record is from RNAcentral. Lineage: Bacteria; Pseudomonadati; Thermodesulfobacteriota; Desulfuromonadia; Geobacterales; Geobacteraceae. RNAcentral also lists the same sequence under 1 other name.
GAGAGCUUGCUCUCAUGAAAGUGGCGCACGGGUGAGUAACGCGUGGAUAACCUGCCCUGGUAUCUGGGAUAACAUCUCGAAAGGGGUGCUAAUACCGGAUAAGCCUACGGACUCCUCGGAGUCUGCAGGAAAAGGAGGCCUCUAUUUAUAAGCUUCCGUAUCAUGAUGGGUCCGCGUACCAUUAGCUAGUUGGUGGGGUAAUGGCCUACCAAGGCGACGAUGGUUAGCUGGUCUGAGAGGAUGAUCAGCCACACUGGAACUGAGACACGGUCCAGACUCCUACGGGAGGCAGCAGUGGGGAAUUUUGCGCAAUGGGGGAAACCCUGACGCAGCAACGCCGCGUGAGUGAUGAAGGCUUUCGGGUCGUAAAGCUCUGUCAGAGGGGAAGAAAUGAAACGUGCUAAUAUCACGUUUUCCUGACGGUACCCUCAAAGGAAGCACCGGCUAACUCCGUGCCAGCAGCCGCGGUAAUAC